GAUGAACGCUGGCGGCGUGCCUAAUACAUGCAAGUAGAACGCUGAAGGAAGGAGCUUGCUCUUUCCGGAUGAGUUGCGAACGGGUGAGUAACGCGUAGGUAACCUGCCUGGUAGCGGGGGAUAACUAUUGGAAACGAUAGCUAAUACCGCAUAACAGUAGAUGUUGCAUGAUAUCUACUUAAAAGGUGCAAUUGCACCACUACCAGAUGGACCUGCGUUGUAUUAGCUAGUUGGUGAGGUAACGGCUCACCAAGGCGACGAUACAUAGCCGACCUGAGAGGGUGAUCGGCCACACUGGGACUGAGACACGGCCCAGACUCCUACGGGAGGCAGCAGUAGGGAAUCUUCGGCAAUGGACGGAAGUCUGACCGAGCAACGCCGCGUGAGUGAAGAAGGUUUUCGGAUCGUAAAGCUCUGUUGUAAGAGAGGAACGAGUGUGAGAGUGGAAAGUUCACACUGUGACGGUAUCUUACCAGAAAGGGACGGCUAACUACGUG
Molecule: ribosomal RNA, 497 nt
Filed under: uncultured bacterium
Lineage: Bacteria
Description: partial 16S ribosomal RNA
Rfam family: Bacterial small subunit ribosomal RNA
Source: RNAcentral